GCAAGUCGGACGGCAGCGCGAGGUAAGCUUGCUUACCUUGGCGGCGAGUGGCGAACGGGUGAGUAAUGUAUCGGAACGUGCCCAGUAGCGGGGGAUAACCACUCGAAAGAGUGGCUAAUACCGCAUACGCCCUACGGGGGAAAGCGGGGGACCUUUCGGGGCCUCGCACUAUUGGAGCGGCCGAUAUCGGAUUAGCUAGUUGGUGGGGUAAAGGCCUACCAAGGCGUCGAUCCGUAGCUGGUUUGAGAGGACGACCAGCCACACUGGGACUGAGACACGGCCCAGACCCCUACGGGAGGCAGCGGUGGGGAAUUUUGGACAAUGGGGGCAACCCUGAUCCAGCCAUCCCGCGUGUGCGAUGAAGGCCUUCGGGUUGUAAAGCACUUUUGGCAGGGAAGAAAAGGCUCUGGCUAAUACCUGGAGCUGCUGACGGUACCUGCAGAAUAAGCACCGGCAAACUACGUGCCAGCAGCCGCGGUAAUACGUAGGGUGCAAGCGUUAAUCGGAAUUACUGGGCGUAAAGCGUGCGCAGGCGGUUCGGCAAGAAGGAUGUGAAAUCCCAGGGCUUAACCUUGGAACUGCAUUCUUAACUGCCGGGCUAGAGUAUGUCAGAGGGGGGUAGAAUUCCGCGUGUAGCAGUGAAAUGCGUAGAGAUGCGGAGGAAUACCGAUGGCGAAGGCAGCCCCCUGGGAUAAUACUGACGCUCAUGCACGAAAGCGUGGGGAGCAAACAGGAUUAGAUACCCUGGUAGUCCACGCCCUAAACGAUGUCAACUAGCUGUUGGGGCCGUUAGGCUUUAGUAGCGCAGCUAACGCGUGAAGUUGACCGCCUGGGGAGUACGGUCGCAGAUUACACUCAAUGAAUUGACGGAA
Molecule: ribosomal RNA, 872 nt
Filed under: uncultured bacterium
Lineage: Bacteria
Description: bacterial SSU rRNA
Rfam family: Bacterial small subunit ribosomal RNA
Source: RNAcentral